Molecule: ribosomal RNA, 467 nt
Filed under: uncultured bacterium
Lineage: Bacteria
Description: partial 16S ribosomal RNA
Rfam family: Bacterial small subunit ribosomal RNA
Source: RNAcentral
GACGAACGCUGGCGGCGUGCUUAACACAUGCAAGUCGAACGGAAAGGCCCUGCUUUUGUGGGGUGCUCGAGUGGCGAACGGGUGAGUAACACGUGAGUAACCUGCCCUUGACUUUGGGAUAACUUCAGGAAACUGGGGCUAAUACCGGAUAGGAGCUCCUGCUACAUGGUGGGGGUUGGAAAGUUUCGGCGGUUGGGGAUGGACUCGCGGCUUAUCAGCUUGUUGGUGGGGUAGUGGCUUACCAAGGCUUUGACGGGUAGCCGGCCUGGGAGGGUGACCGGCCCCAUUGGGACUGGGAUACGGCCCAGACCCCUACGGGGGGCAGCAGGGGGGAAUAUUGCAAAAUGGGCGGAAGCCGGAUGCAGCAACCCCGCGUGCGGGAUGACGGCCUUCGGGUUGUAAACCGCUUUCGCCUGGGACGAAGCGUGAGUGGCGGUAAUGGGUAAAGAAGCCCCGGCUAACUACGU